CUCGACAAUGGCACCGACGGUUUUACGCUACGCUUGGGGGUAGUUUAAGAUCAGAACCCUGUGUCGCUGUCGCAGGUGUAGUUGCACCUGAAGUGACAGGUACUAGAGAGCUGCCUUCGACGGCGCCCUCAGGAUUGGUUUCGUUGCCAGCGGGUGUGGGUGCUGGUUGUUGACCACUUCCUCCUGCGGCUGCAGCUGCCGCGGCCGCC
This 209-nucleotide unclassified non-coding RNA is filed under the name Bombus terrestris (buff-tailed bumblebee). RNAcentral's name for it is "misc RNA ENSBTSG00005037714.1". Lineage: Eukaryota; Metazoa; Arthropoda; Insecta; Hymenoptera; Apidae. The record is from RNAcentral.